Molecule: small RNA, 187 nt
Filed under: Atopomonas hussainii
Lineage: Bacteria; Pseudomonadati; Pseudomonadota; Gammaproteobacteria; Pseudomonadales; Pseudomonadaceae
Description: Pseudomonas hussainii RgsA sRNA
Rfam family: RgsA sRNA
About the family: P16 sRNA appears to be conserved across several Pseudomonas species and Azotobacter vinelandii. In these species it is consistently located downstream of a predicted TatD deoxyribonuclease gene.
Source: Rfam by way of RNAcentral
CAAACAGCUGCGAUCUAUUACCAAUCCAUCUUAAAAACGCUGGAAAAACCAGCUAUCUGGCCAAUACUUAAAGUCACUGGUGCGCGGCAUACCCCCCCAAGUGCCCGGCCAGUUUUAGGUACCGUGGAUCGUGUACCGUUGUUUCACUCCUAAUGGUCUUGACCCGGAUUCAUCCCCCAGAACCCGG